Molecule: ribosomal RNA, 293 nt
Filed under: uncultured bacterium
Lineage: Bacteria
Description: partial 16S ribosomal RNA
Source: RNAcentral
GGACUACUGGGGUUUCUAAUCCUGUUCGCUCCCCACGCUUUCGCUCCUCAGCGUCAGUAUCGGCCCAGAGACCCGCCUUCGCCACCGGUGUUCCUCCUGAUAUCUGCGCAUUUCACCGCUACACCAGGAAUUCCAGUCUCCCCUGCCGAACUCCAGUGAUGCCCGUAUCGACCGCACGCCCACAGUUAAGCUGCAGGUUUUCACGGCCGACGCGACACACCGCCUACGAGCUCUUUACGCCCAAUAAUUCCGGACAACGCUCGCACCCUACGUGUUACCGCGGCGGCUGGCAC